Molecule: unclassified non-coding RNA, 315 nt
Filed under: plant metagenome
Description: partial contains 5.8S ribosomal RNA, internal transcribed spacer 2, and large subunit ribosomal RNA
Rfam family: 5.8S ribosomal RNA (bases 1-105)
Source: RNAcentral
GAAAUGCGAUAAGUAAUGUGAAUUGCAGAAUUCAGUGAAUCAUCGAAUCUUUGAACGCACAUUGCGCCCGCCAGCACUCUGGCGGGCAUGCCUGUUCGAGCGUCAUUGCUGCCCUUCAAGCCCGGCUUGUGUGUUGGGUCGUCGUCCCCUCCGGGGGACGGGCCCGAAAGGCAGCGGCGGCACCGCGUCCGGUCCUCGAGCGUAUGGGGCUUUGUCACCCGCUCGAUAAGGACCGGCCGGGCGCCAGCCGGCGUCUCCAACCUUUUUUACUCAGGUUGACCUCGGAUCAGGUAGGGAUACCCGCUGAACUUAAGC